UAUGUGAUCGUCUCUCGCAUAUCAAUAAGCGGAGGAAAAGAAACUAACAAGGAUUCCCCUAGUAACGGCGAGUGAAGCGGGAAGAGCUCAAAUUUGAAAUCUUAAAGGGUUCCCCUUUACGAAUUGUAGUUUAAAGAAGUGUUUUCUGUUGAGGUUUUGGUAAAAGUUCUUUGGAAUAGGACAUCAUAGAGGGUGAGAAUCCCGUAUUUGACCUUUACUUUCAACUUUGUGAUACACUUUCAAAGAGUCGGAUUGUUUGGGAAUGCAGUCCAAAAUGGGUGGUAAAUUUCAUCUAAAGCUAAAUAUUGGCGAGAGACCGAUAGCGAACAAGUACCGUGAGGGAAAGAUGAAAAGAACUUUGAAAAGAGAGUUAAACAGUACGUGAAAUUGUCAAAAGGGAAGCGUUUGACACCAGUGUUGUUUUUCUGAAAAUCAAUUAAAGAACUGUUUAUGCUAAGCUGUUUAGACUUUAUCAGCUAUCUGUUUAGUUUUGAGCUUUUCUUUAAUGCACUUUUCAGUUAACAAGUCAACAUCAAUUUCUUUUGCUGUAAAAAAGCUUGAGGAAGGUGGCUUGAGAUUCGUCUUAAGUGUUUAUAGCCUCUUGCCUAUGCAGUCGGAGAGAUUGAGGUCAUGCAGCGUAGAUCCUUCGGGGCUAAAUGCAUUUGUGCUAAGUUAUAGCAUUUUAUAGACAACUUGUUGACUAUGAUUUGUCUUGUAGCUUACUCGCUUAUGUUAUUUUACCUACGCUUAGGAUGUUGAUCUACAGAGCGAGAGU
This 775-nucleotide ribosomal RNA is filed under the name uncultured Neocallimastigales. Its description in RNAcentral is "partial large subunit ribosomal RNA". It matches the Rfam family "Eukaryotic large subunit ribosomal RNA", at positions 24 to 635 of the family's 3401-position model. The record is from RNAcentral. Lineage: Eukaryota; Fungi; Neocallimastigomycota; Neocallimastigomycetes; Neocallimastigales.